RNAcentral lists this transfer RNA (85 nucleotides) under Felis catus (domestic cat). It matches the Rfam family "tRNA". Rfam says of the family: Transfer RNA (tRNA) molecules are approximately 80 nucleotides in length. Their secondary structure includes four short double-helical elements and three loops (D, anti-codon, and T loops). Further hydrogen bonds mediate the characteristic L-shaped molecular structure. tRNAs have two regions of fundamental functional importance: the anti-codon, which is responsible for specific mRNA codon recognition, and the 3' end, to which the tRNAs corresponding amino acid is attached (by aminoacyl-tRNA synthetases). tRNAs cope with the degeneracy of the genetic code in two manners: having more than one tRNA (with a specific anti-codon) for a particular amino acid; and 'wobble' base-pairing, i.e. permitting non-standard base-pairing at the 3rd anti-codon position. The record is from Rfam by way of RNAcentral. Lineage: Eukaryota; Metazoa; Chordata; Mammalia; Carnivora; Felidae.
GCCUGGGUGGCUCAGUCGGUUGGGCAUCUGACUUCAGCUCAGGUCAUGAUCUCACAGUUUGUGAGUUCGAGUCCCACAUCGGGCU